Molecule: ribosomal RNA, 970 nt
Filed under: uncultured organism
Description: bacterial SSU rRNA
Rfam family: Bacterial small subunit ribosomal RNA
Source: RNAcentral
UACUGAUACACGGAUCAGACUCCUACGGGAGGCACCAGUGGGGAAUAUUGGACAAUGGGGGCAACCCUGAUCCAGCUAUGCCUCGUGGACGAUGACGGAUUUCGGUCUGUAAACUCCUUUUCUCACAGAAGAUCAUGACGGUAUCUGAGGAAUAAGCACCGGCUAACUCCGUGCCAGCAGCCUGCGGUAAUACGGAGGGUGCAAGCGUUACUCGGAAUCGCUGGGCGUAUAGCGCGCGCAUGCGGAUUGUCAACUCUUGAGUGAAAUCCUAUGGCUUAACCAUAGAACUGCUUGGGAAACUGGCAGUCUACAGUGUGGGAGAGGCAGGUGGAAUUCCCGGUGUCGGGGUAAAAUCCUGUAGAGAUCGGGAGGAAUACCUAUUGCGAAGGCGACCUGCUGGAACACACAUGACGCGGAGGCGCGAAAGCCUGGCGAGCAAACAGGACUAGAUACCUUGGUAGUCCACGCCAUAUACGAUGGAUGCUAGUUCCUGUGGCCCUCGUGGUCCCAGUAAUGCAGUUAACGCAUUAAGCAUCCCGCCUGGGGAGUAUGGUAGCAAGAUUAAAACUCUAAGGAAUAGACGGGGACCCGCACAAGCGAUGGAGCAUGUGGAUUAAUUGGAAGAUACGCGAAGAGCCUUACCCGGGCUAGACAUCCUUGAGAACCCGCUGGAUACAGUGGGCUGUAGGCUUGCCAGAACCAAGUGACAGGUGCUGCACGACCGUCGUCAGCUCUGUGUCGUGAGAUGCUGGCAUAAGUCCCGCAACGAGCGCAACCCUCGUUCCUAGGUGCCUUACGGUUCAAGCCGAGCAACUCUAAGUAGACUGCCCUCGCAAGGGGGAGGAAGCUGAGGAUGACCUCAGGUCAUCAUGGCCCGUACGUCCGGGGCAACACACGUGCUACAAAUGGGAUGGACAGUGAGACGCGAUACCGCGAGGUGGAGCAAAUCUCCAAACCAUCUCCCAGUUCG